GAUGAACGCUAGCUACAGGCUUAACACAUGCAAGUCGAGGGGAAACGAUAGAGAAGGCUUGCUUUUUCUAGGCGUCGACCGGUGCACGGGUGAGUAACGCGUAUCCAACCUGCCCACCACUUGGGGAUAACCUUGCGAAAGUAAGACUAAUACCCAAUGAUAUCUCAAGAAGACAUCUGAAUGAGAUUAAAGAUUUAUCGGUGAUGGAUGGGGAUGCGUCUGAUUAGCUUGUUGGCGGGGUAACGGCCCACUAAGGCGACGACGAGUAGGGGUUCUGAGAGGAAGGUCCCCCACAUUGGAACUGAGACACGGUCCAAACUCCUACGGGAGGCAGCAGUGAGGAAUAUUGGUCAGUGGGCGAGAGCCUGAACCAGCCAAGUAGCGUGCAGGAUGACGGCCCUAUGGGUUGUAAACUGCUUUUAUAAGGGAAUAAAGUGAGUCUCGUGAGGCUUUUUGCAUGUACCUUAUGAAUAAGGACCGGCUAAUUCCGUGCCAGCAGCCGCCGUAA
This 508-nucleotide ribosomal RNA is filed under the name uncultured bacterium. RNAcentral describes it as "partial 16S ribosomal RNA". It matches the Rfam family "Bacterial small subunit ribosomal RNA", at positions 28 to 523 of the family's 1533-position model. The record is from RNAcentral.